UAAUACGGAGGAUCCAAGCGUUAUCCGGAAUUAUUGGGUUUAAAGGGUCCGCAGGCUGUUUUUUAAGUCAGAGGUGAAAUCCUGCAGCUCAACUGUAGAAUUGCCUUUGAAACUGAAAGACUUGAGUUAUUGUGAAGUGGUUAGAAUGUGUGGUGUAGCGGUGAAAUGCAUAGAUAUCACACAGAAUACCAAUUGCGAAGGCAGAUCACUAACAAUUAACUGACGCUCAGGGACGAAAGCGUGGGUAGCGAACAGGAUUAGAUACCCUGGUAGUCCACGCCGUAAACGAUGGAUACUAGCUGUAUGUCUACUUCAGGUAGAUGUGUGGCCAAGCGAAAGUGAUAAGUAUCCCACCUGGGGAGUACGAUCGCAAGAUUG
RNAcentral lists this ribosomal RNA (378 nucleotides) under uncultured Bacteroidota bacterium. Its description in RNAcentral is "bacterial SSU rRNA". It matches the Rfam family "Bacterial small subunit ribosomal RNA", at positions 521 to 896 of the family's 1533-position model. The record is from RNAcentral. Lineage: Bacteria; Pseudomonadati; Bacteroidota.